This 477-nucleotide ribosomal RNA is filed under the name uncultured bacterium. RNAcentral describes it as "partial 16S ribosomal RNA". It matches the Rfam family "Bacterial small subunit ribosomal RNA", at positions 28 to 507 of the family's 1533-position model. The record is from RNAcentral.
GAUGAACGCUGGCGGCGUGCAUAACACAUGCAAGUCGAACGAUGAAACCUAACUGAUUUCUUCGGAAUGAUGUUAAGUGGAUUAGUGGCGGACGGGUGAGUAACGCGUGAGUAACCUGCCUUGGAGAAGGGGGUAGCCUUUGGAAACGAAGAAUAAUACCCUAUGAUAUGAUCAUAUCUCAUGUUAGUAUCAUCAAAGAUUUAUCGCUCAAAGAUGGACUUGCGUCUGAUUAGUUGGUUGGUGAGGUAACAGCUCACCAAGCCAGCGGUCAGUAGCCGGCUUGGAAGAGUGGCCAGCCUCGGUGUGACAGAGACACGACCCAGACUCCUGCGGGAGGCGGCGGUGAUGAAUCUUAAACAGUGAGGGAAACCCUGAUGCAGCGCCGCCGCGUGAUUUAGAAUCUCUUUGGGUUGUAAAAAUCUUUUGUAUGAGAAGAAAAUGACGGUACCAAACGAAUAAGGACCGGCUAAUUACGUG